UCUUCUAAGCCACAGAGAAUCCCGUACUGUUGCUAACGUCUCCAAGGACAGGAGUCAAUUAUCCUAACAUCAAAUGUGUCAGUACGAAGCUUUACUUUCCUGUUAAAUUUCCAGGCCCCUGCUUUUCCAAUCAGGGUUCCCAAAUGCUGGUAUGACAGGUGUGCACCACGACAACUCAGGCUGCUCUUAACCCUUUCUGCUCUUCCUUAUGGAAAGUAUCCCCAUUUUCCAAACACUUAAAUUCCUGAAAAGAUGCCUGUCUUGCCAUGUUUUCUUGGGAACGGACACAACAGUGAGGCAAUUACGGGAACAUUUCAGUUGAAAAUCUGAAAUAAAAUUCCUUAUUUGCUAAAAUUACAGACACACCCUAUCGAUGCAUGCAUAACCUAAUGGAAGAUGCAAACCCAGAAACCACAUGACGAUUGCGUUCAAGUGAUAGUGAACACUAUUCUCUCAACUGCCAUUGAAGCAGGUAUUUAAGGGCGCAACAAAAAGGAGACAAUUUUGCUAAUGAUUUUUUAGGCAGUCUGUGUGGUAGUGUGAAGGUAACUGGCCCCCAUCAUCUCACAAGGAGUGGCUUUGUUGGAGGGAGUGUGGCACUGUGGGGCAGGAUUUCAGGUUUUCUGUGUUCAGGAUACUUCCCAGAGUCUCAGCUGACUUCCUGUUGCCUGCAAGAUGCAGGACUCAGUUACUACUCCAGCACCACUUCUUCCCGAAUGCCGCCACGCUCCCCAUUAUGAUGACAACUGACUGACCCUCUGAAACUGUUGAAGGUUUGAGCUCCUUGGAUUUCCAGACCGAUGUCCAACAUCAACAAGCUGCUAUUUACAGAGGUCUCCUUACAACAGCCCGAAACACGAUGCCCUCAUGUUGCGUGGGGCGUGGACACCUCCCCGUUGGCAGUGGGCAGGAGAGGCUUGCUGUAUUUGCACUGAAUCCACACUCGGUACAUCGUCAGCUGUUUGCCUCGGUUCACCUGCAAGCGGCGAUCCACCAGGUUCUGCACCUUCUCCAGACCCGCAGCCGUGAAGAGCGCAUCCAGCUCAUCUGGUUUGGAGAGAGCAGAUGUUUAAGGAUUUUCUGCUGGAGGAAGGGCAGUUUGCUGAUGGCUGUGUUAAUUGGAGCUCUGAGACAAUGUAGUCAGAGUGCUUUUAAAGAGGCCUUGCAGCAUUGGUAGGUCCAGGCUUGGGUACCAAAGCCCUUGAGGAGAAAGGCCUACAACGGGGAGGAGUUUUAAGAUGGAAAGGCUACAGGGUGUGCUUCUUGCAUUCAUGUGUAGGUGCACAUGUGUGUGGGGGUCAGAGGGCUCCCUCUGACGCCAUCGUUUAGGCCUCUCACUAGCCUGGGACUUCCCAAGUAGGCUAGAAUGGCAUGUCUGCAAGUCCCAGGGACCCUCCUGUCUCCUUUCCCAGAGUUGGGAUUACAAGCACGUAUCUCCAUGCUCCUAGUCCAGUUCUUUUUUUUAACUAAUUAAUUUCUAGCCUAUCACAGUUUCCUUCCUUUCUCCCUCCCUCCUCUCCUCUCAGUUCUCCCUACUGGUCCAGUUUUUAAAGAUCCCCAAGGGUUCUACAAACACUACAAAGCUACAUGAGGGACUGGACAGUAGAUAAGAGCACGGGCUGCUCUUUCAGAGGACCCAGGUUCUCUUCCCAGCACCAAGGCUGUGACUCAGAAUCAUCUGCAGUUCUAGUUCCAGGGCCUCUAACACCCUCUUCUCGUCUCUGAGGGCACCAGGCAUGGAUGUAAUACACAGACACACAUGCAGGCAAAAAACCAAAACCAAAACCAACCAACCAACCAAACAACCAACCAACCAAAAAACACAUAAAAUUGACAGAUGUAUAUGUCAUGACAAAGUUUUAGGAACAAUUUUCAAUGCUAGGCUCCAAGUGUAUGACUUGACUUAACAAAGGCCUCAGAAUAUUCUUAACAAGUUGGGGGGGGUGAAGCCUGUGACUGGGCAGAUUACAGAGCAGGUCCAGGUCACCUGGAGUCAAGGGACAAUGACUCACCAGCAUAGCUGUGUUGAAGCACAGUCUGGUGCAGAGGGCAAAACAGACCAGGCUGGAGCCUGCAAAAAGCGCCGGCUCCCACUUUGGAUUAGUGAAAGGCAGCUGACCGCGAGUCAGCACAAGUCAGAGGUGUCUGGGAAAGUGACAGCUCAGGGUAGAUAACGGUGUGUGUGAGAGGCAGAGUCCCUAGAGAGGCAGGAGGGUCAGGUGACUAAGAACGUGCAGUUAUCUAUCUACCUGACCUGGCAUACCAACUGCCUUUAGCACUGAUAAAAAAUAUAUUUUUCGUACCUUGUGUGAAGAAGUAAACUCUGGUGCCAUCACCUCUCACAUAGAAAUUUCCAGAGAGACACUGACCUGUGUUACAUGACAAAAACAGAAACAUUAACAUACUUAAUAAAAAAAAGUUUAUUAUUUUUAAGCUUCUGGAUAUGGGCUUGUGUCUGAAUGCGUUGUAUGCAUUACGGAGCUAAGAGAGAGUUCAGGAGUGUCAGAUUCCCUGGAAUUGUGAAUUCUGGGAAGUUGUGAGCUGCCCAAUGUGGGUGCUGGGAACUGAACCCAGGUCCUAUGCAAGAGCAGUAAGUGCUCUUAUUGGUUCAGACUUCUCUCCAGUCCCUAAAGAACUUUGAAUUUCAUCAUUUAGCAAAUGUGAAACAGGCUAAGUGUGGUGGUUCAUACUCACAAUCCCAGCAUUUAGGAGGCUCUGGCAGGAUGACUGGCAGAGUUCCAGGCUAUCUAGGAUACAGAGUGAGACCCCAUCUCAACACCCAACACCUUCCCAUCAACAGGCAUUCAGAAAACCAGAUGUGCAUUUUUGGUGACACACUGAUACGUCACAGGAACUUGCAAUUAAUUUCCUACAAAGGCACAGCACUUCAGCAAAGAGCUGAAGUGGGAAAAAACAAAACCAGUAUCAGAUAAUGUGAUUCCUAGCUGAGUUCUAGAUUGCACCACCACGACCCACACUCAGCUUAGUUUGAAAAACAAUUGGGGCGGGAGAGAUGGCUCAGAGGUUAAGAGCAUUGACUGCUCUACUAGAGGUCCUGAGUUCAAUUCCCAGCAACCACAUGGUGGCUCACAACCAUCUGUAAUGAGAUCUGGUGCCCUCUUCUUGGUGUGCAGGAAUAUAUGCAGGCAGAACACUGUAUACAUAAUAAAUAUUAAAAAAAGAAAAAGAAAAACAACAAUCAAUGUAACUGAUUCUUAACUAAGUGUCCACAUACACUUGUGAGAACUCACACUGUUUUCACGUGGACAAUCCUUCCCUUCUGCUCAUCCCUCCAGUCUUACAACCUUCAUGUAAUUCUACAUUUUUUUUUCUGUUUUGGUUUUUCAAGACAGGGUUUCUCUGUCUUGAAACAAAUUAAAACAACCAACCAACCAAACCGAACAAACAACGGCUGUUCUGGAAUUCACUGGCCUCAACUCACAGAGACGCUGGGAUUAAAGGCGUGUGCCACCACUGGCCGGUAUUAAAAAAAAAGAUUUUAUGAGUAUUUUGCUUACAUGUAUGUCUCUGCACUAACCACAUGCUUGUCUGGUGACUGUUGAGACACGCCAUGGACUGCUGGAAACUGAACUUGGGUUUUCUCCAAGAACAACCAGUGCCCUUAACUACUGAGCAUCUCUCCAGACCCCCACGUACCUUUUUUAAACCGAAGCUGAGCCAUGUCAUAGCGGCCAUAGUCUCGAAGAAGCAUUACCCCUCCAGGCUUCAGGAGUCCGCUCAGCCUGUUGAUAGCUUUCUGCAUCCUGCACGGCAGCAGGGAAUGAAGCUUAAGUCUCCAUGGGGACGGAGUUUCCUCUCCUAUAGCACAAAACCCAAAGCAACACUUCCUAACUCUGACAUCAACAUUAAAGGCCAACCCCUAUGUGUCACAUGGUGGUAGACAUUUCAAGUACUAAACUGGGCUCAUUUUCUCCUGGCCCUGUGAUUGUCACCCCUGCUAUGUGCUCCUGUAGCUUUCUGGGAGCCCUGACCAUAGUCUAGGAAUAACCAUGACUCAUCUGUCUUUCUAUUAAGUGAAAAGCUCUCCUUUAGAAUCUCUGUGAGUUCGAGACCAGCCUGGUCUGAAGAUUAAGUUCCAGGACAGGCUCCAAAGCUACACAGAGAAACCCAGUCUCGAAAAACCAGAGUUCUAAAAAGUCUACACACAGCCAACUCCUGGCUUACUUGGUGCUGCAUACAGCAGGCAAGUGGGGGAGAGCUUCCAUUUGUACAGUGAUGUUCCCUGAGGCCCACAUGCUGAAAGCAUGGCCUCUUCCUGGGACUACUAGGUGGUAGAUACUCAAAGGGUGGGGCCUUUAGGUCACUGGGAAACAUGUGUGGGUGCCCUGGAAGGGGACUGUGGGAUUCUGUUUCCUUCCUCUCUUCUUAGCCCCUGACCAUGGGGUGAGAGAUUUCAUUCUGGAGAUGAUGUGCUGCCUUGCUGAAGGUGUAAAAGUCCGCCCACUUCCAAAACAGAAGCCAAAGUAACCUUCUCUUUAUUUACUCUUUGAGACAGGUUUCUCUGUAUCAGCCCUGGAUGUUCUGGAACUCGCUCUGUGACCAGGCUGGCCUCUAACUCACACACAUGCGCCUGUCUCUGCCUCACUAGUGCUGGGAUUAAGAGUGUGCGCAUUCUCCAAUAGUCUGGCACAGGAUUAAAGUAUUUACAGCACCUGAAGCAUAUAUAUAUGCUACACAAAACAUUUCAAAGCCUUACCAUAUUCCUGUGAGGCCAGAGAACCGUAUUGCUAAUCUAGAGGAAAACCGGCUACCUCAGUUCGGUUAUCAGUCAGCAGUGCCUGAAUCUUACAGCCAUCAUCUUUAUAACUGACUCCAUCUCCUCCAGUGGACAGUUUCAUAGGGUUACUGGCUGCCUGAUACAGGUUUUGUUUUUAGAGAUGGGCUCUUUCUAUGUUGCCCAGGUAGCCCUUGAACCCCAGGGCUAACUCCUGCCCACCGAGACCACAAGCACAUGCUACUAUGCUUCCUUCUUUUGUUUUCUUGGUUUAGGGACUAAACCGAGAGCUCUGUGCAUGGAAAGCACAGACUCUACCACGGAGCACACACCCUCAGAAAACCAUGCAAAACAUGUGCUGUGUACUGAACUGUGUCACCAGCUACCUGCUCAUGAAAUUACAAAAAUGUAUUACAUUUAUUUACUGUGUGUGUCUGGAUGUACAUAUCACAUGUAAAAGUCAGAGUAGAAUGUUCAGAGUCCUUCCACUGAGUAGAAUGUUCAGUUCUCCUUCCACUGAACCCCGGGGAUUGAUCUCAUGUCGGUGGCAAGUUUCUUUACCUGCUGAGUCAUCUUACUGACCCUACAUGAAGUUGUAAAAUAGUAUUUUCAAAAUAAAAAUAGUUUGUUCUUUUA
Long non-coding RNA from Mesocricetus auratus (golden hamster), 5371 nucleotides. RefSeq lists it as uncharacterized. The record is from RefSeq and is a predicted model, not a curated record. NCBI's taxonomy places the organism in Eukaryota, Metazoa, Chordata, Mammalia, Rodentia, Cricetidae. The transcript has 3 exons.